CUUGUAGGUGGCGUACAGUGAUAAACGGUGCCAUCCCAAGGCCUAACCUUGGGAAUGCCUUUAAUACUUGUAUGCUAGAGUAUGUAUAAGGAAAGUGGAAUGCCAUAUGGAGCGGUUAAAUGCGUAGAUAUAUGGAGGAAGACCAAAAGCGAAGGCAACUUUCUGGUACAUGACUGACACUGAGAAGCGAAAGCGUGGGUAGCGAAUG
Molecule: ribosomal RNA, 208 nt
Filed under: uncultured bacterium
Lineage: Bacteria
Description: partial 16S ribosomal RNA
Rfam family: Bacterial small subunit ribosomal RNA
Source: RNAcentral